UGUUGCAUAGCGACAUAGUGGUUAAGGAGCAGGGCUUGAAACCCAGAGGUUGCUGGUUCAAUUCCCCCCGGGACAC
Molecule: non-coding RNA, 76 nt
Organism: Megalops atlanticus (tarpon)
Lineage: Eukaryota; Metazoa; Chordata; Actinopteri; Elopiformes; Megalopidae
Source: the annotation of a GenBank genome assembly